RNAcentral lists this long non-coding RNA (756 nucleotides) under Linum usitatissimum (flax). RNAcentral's name for it is "long non-coding RNA (LUSI_LNC007326)". The record is from RNAcentral. Lineage: Eukaryota; Viridiplantae; Streptophyta; Magnoliopsida; Malpighiales; Linaceae.
UCCUCAUAAUCUGAUAUCUAACUCAUGCAAAUUCAACCAUAUAUAACAAGUUAUACAAAUGAACAUUAUUCUGUAUGCAUCACUGUCAUAAAUAGUCAUACUCACAUUAGUUUAAUUCAUGAACCUGGAAGUUGGUUAAAGUUGAAGUUCCCCAGGACUUGAGCUAAAUCAUAAGCUCUUGCCGCUACCUCUUUGUCGUCAUAAGCCCCUGAUUAUGAAAACGACAAAAAACAUCCAUUAGUAAACGAGUGAACACGUAAAGAAUUUUUUUGACUUUGCUUUGGGACAUAUAUAUAAUGUAUAGAACUACUCACCAAAUACUGUUGGAAUUUAUGAGGAACUGCCAUUAGUCCAUGAACAUUAACAUUUGUACGUUAAGACACAUCCCAUUAGCAUCAAAUGGCUGGGAUCCAAGCUACAUAUAUAGAUCCAUAUUAAGUAAUGACGACCGACUAAUAUUAUUAUCCUUGUAAAAGGCUUAGAAGCUGAAGAAGCUGAAAGAAAUAAUCCAUGGUUCCUUCCAUGGACUGCAAAGACUUGCCAUCGCAUACCUCGUCCAUGUGGUCUUCAUCGACGUCAAUCUCAUACAUCCCUUCCAAGUUGGUUUUCCCCUCCCUCUGUUGCGCUCAAUCCUCACCAUAACACCUGUUAUAGAAAUUUUGCUUAGUCAACAUAUACAACUCAUGUUUUCUUCUAUGCUCUAAUGCCCAAAUAUAGAUGGAAACUGAAGUAGCAAGAAACUCAAAGGUCAGUCAA